This 75-nucleotide transfer RNA is filed under the name Candidatus Azambacteria bacterium RIFCSPHIGHO2_01_FULL_51_74. RNAcentral describes it as "tRNA-Ile". It matches the Rfam family "tRNA". Rfam says of the family: Transfer RNA (tRNA) molecules are approximately 80 nucleotides in length. Their secondary structure includes four short double-helical elements and three loops (D, anti-codon, and T loops). Further hydrogen bonds mediate the characteristic L-shaped molecular structure. tRNAs have two regions of fundamental functional importance: the anti-codon, which is responsible for specific mRNA codon recognition, and the 3' end, to which the tRNAs corresponding amino acid is attached (by aminoacyl-tRNA synthetases). tRNAs cope with the degeneracy of the genetic code in two manners: having more than one tRNA (with a specific anti-codon) for a particular amino acid; and 'wobble' base-pairing, i.e. permitting non-standard base-pairing at the 3rd anti-codon position. RNAcentral also lists the same sequence under 2 other names. Lineage: Bacteria; Candidatus Azamiibacteriota. The record is from RNAcentral.
GCGCGUGUAGCUCAACGGCAGAGCACGGAGCUUAUAUCUCCGCGGUUCCUGGUUCGAAUCCAGGCACGCGCACCG